This 468-nucleotide ribosomal RNA is filed under the name Conus musicus. RNAcentral's name for it is "partial 16S ribosomal RNA". It matches the Rfam family "Bacterial large subunit ribosomal RNA", at positions 1849 to 2576 of the family's 2925-position model. The record is from RNAcentral. Lineage: Eukaryota; Metazoa; Mollusca; Gastropoda; Neogastropoda; Conidae.
GAAGUCGGACCUGCCCAGUGAGUUUUAAACGGCCGCGGUACUCUGACCGUGCAAAGGUAGCAUAAUCAUUUGCCUUAUAAUUGAAGGCUGGAAUGAAUGGUUUGACAAGAAUACCCCUGUCUCUUUUAGAUUAUUUAGAACUUUAUUUUUGGAUGAAAAAGUCCAGAUAUAAUUAAUAGACAAGAAGACCCUAUCGAGCUUUAGAGAAAUUAGUAAACUUAGUUAGUAUGACCAAUAUAAGUAAAAGAAAGAUUACUAAACACUUUGGUUGGGGCAACCGAGGAGAUUUCUUUGCCUCCUUUGAUCUACAAAUCUUACUUGUGUUGAUCCAGUAAUUCUGAUCAAAGAAAUUAGUUACCGUAGGGAUAACAGCAUAAUCUUUUUCAAGAGCCCAUAUCGAAAAAAAGGUUUGUGACCUCGAUGUUGGACCAGAAUGUCCUAAAGAUGCAGAAGUCUUUAAGGGUUGGU